GACGAACGCUGGCGGCGUGCUUAACACAUGCAAGUCGAACGGAAAGGCCCUGCUUUUGUGGGGUGCUCGAGUGGCGAACGGGUGAGUAACACGUGAGUAACCUGCCCUUGACUUUGGGAUAACUUCAGGAAACUGGGGCUAAUACCGGAUAGGAGCUCCUGCUGCAUGGUGGGGGAUGGAAAGUUUCGGCGGUUGGGGAUGGACUCGCGGCUUAUCAGCUUGUUUGUGGGGUAGUGGCUUACCAAGGCUUUGACGGGUAGCCGGCCUGAGAGGGUGACCGGCCACAUUAGGACUGAGAUACGGCCCAGACUCCUACGGGAGGCAGCAGUGGGGAAUAUUGCACAAUGGGCGGAAGCCUGAUGCAGCAGCGCCGCGUGCGGGAUGACGGCCUUCGGGUUGUAAACCGCUUUCGCCUGUGACGAAGCGUGAGUGACGGUAAUGGGUAAAGAAGCACCGGCUAACUACGUG
RNAcentral lists this ribosomal RNA (468 nucleotides) under uncultured bacterium. RNAcentral's name for it is "partial 16S ribosomal RNA". It matches the Rfam family "Bacterial small subunit ribosomal RNA", at positions 28 to 507 of the family's 1533-position model. The record is from RNAcentral.